RNAcentral lists this ribosomal RNA (2883 nucleotides) under Acinetobacter baumannii. Its description in RNAcentral is "23S ribosomal RNA". It matches the Rfam family "Bacterial large subunit ribosomal RNA". Lineage: Bacteria; Pseudomonadati; Pseudomonadota; Gammaproteobacteria; Moraxellales; Moraxellaceae. The record is from RNAcentral.
GUUGUAUAGUCAAGUAAUUAAGUGCAUGUGGUGGAUGCCUUGGCAGUCAGAGGCGAUGAAAGACGUGAUAGCCUGCGAAAAGCUCCGGGGAGGCGGCAAAUAUCCUUUGAUCCGGAGAUGUCUGAAUGGGGGAACCCACCUACUUUAAGGUAGGUAUUGCAACAUGAAUACAUAGUGUUGCAAGGCGAACGAGGGGAAGUGAAACAUCUCAGUACCCUUAGGAAAAGAAAUCAAUUGAGAUUCCCUCAGUAGCGGCGAGCGAACGGGGAUCAGCCCAUUAAGUUAUGUGUGUUUUAGUGGAACGCUCUGGGAAGUGCGAACGUAGAGGGUGAUAUUCCCGUACACGAAAGGGCACACAUAAUGAUGACGAGUAGGGCGAGGCACGUGAAACCUUGUCUGAAUAUGGGGGGACCAUCCUCCAAGGCUAAAUACUCCUGACUGACCGAUAGUGAACCAGUACCGUGAGGGAAAGGCGAAAAGAACCCCUGUGAGGGGAGUGAAAUAGAUCCUGAAACCGCAUGCAUACAAGCAGUGGGAGCACCUUCGUGGUGUGACUGCGUACCUUUUGUAUAAUGGGUCAGCGACUUAUAUUCAGUAGCGAGGUUAACCGUAUAGGGGAGCCGUAGAGAAAUCGAGUCUUAAUAGGGCGUUUAGUUGCUGGGUAUAGACCCGAAACCAGGCGAUCUAUCCAUGAGCAGGUUGAAGGUUGGGUAACACUAACUGGAGGACCGAACCCACUGUCGUUGAAAAGCCAGGGGAUGACUUGUGGAUAGGGGUGAAAGGCUAAUCAAGCCUGGUGAUAGCUGGUUCUCCCCGAAAGCUAUUUAGGUAGCGCCUCGGACGAAUACCAUAGGGGGUAGAGCACUGUUUCGGCUAGGGGGUCAUCCCGACUUACCAAACCGAUGCAAACUCCGAAUACCUAUGAGUACUAUCCGGGAGACAGACUGCGGGUGCUAACGUCCGUAGUCAAGAGGAAAACAAUCCAGACCGCCAGCUAAGGCCCCAAAAUCAUAGUUAAGUGGGAAACGAUGUGGGAAGGCAUAGACAGCUAGGAGGUUGGCUUAGAAGCAGCCACCCUUUAAAGAAAGCGUAAUAGCUCACUAGUCGAGUCGGCCUGCGCGGAAGAUGUAACGGGGCUAAAACUAUGUGCCGAAGCUGCGGAUNNNNNNNNNNNNNNNNNNNNNNNNNNAUGCUGGAGGUAUCAGAAGUGCGAAUGCUGACGUGAGUAACGACAAAACGGGUGAAAAACCCGUUCGCCGAAAGACCAAGGGUUCCAGUCCAACGUUAAUCGGGGCUGGGUGAGUCGACCCCUAAGGCGAGGCCGAAAGGCGUAGUCGAUGGGAAAAUGGUUAAUAUUCCAUUACUUCUGUGUAAUGCGAUGAGAGGACGGAGAAGGCUAAAUCAGCCUGGCGUUGGUUGUCCAGGUGAAAGGAUGUAGGCAUGUAUCUUAGGCAAAUCCGGGGUACUCUAUGCUGAGAUCUGAUAGCAAGCUGUACUUGUACAGCGAAGUGGUUGAUGCCAUGCUUCCAGGAAAAGUCUCUAAGCUUCAGUUACACAGGAAUCGUACCCGAAACCGACACAGGUGGUCAGGUCGAGUAGACCAAGGCGCUUGAGAGAACUCUGCUGAAGGAACUAGGCAAAAUGGUACCGUAACUUCGGGAGAAGGUACGCUGUUGUUGGUGAUGGAACUCGCUUCCUGAGCUGACGACAGCCGCAGAAACCAGGCCGCUGCAACUGUUUAUUAAAAACAUAGCACUCUGCAAACACGAAAGUGGACGUAUAGGGUGUGAUGCCUGCCCGGUGCUGGAAGGUUAAUUGAUGGGGUUAGCGUAAGCGAAGCUCUUGAUCGAAGCCCCAGUAAACGGCGGCCGUAACUAUAACGGUCCUAAGGUAGCGAAAUUCCUUGUCGGGUAAGUUCCGACCUGCACGAAUGGCAUAAUGAUGGCGGCGCUGUCUCCAGCAGAGGCUCAGUGAAAUCGAAAUCGCUGUGAAGAUGCAGUGUACCCGCGGCUAGACGGAAAGACCCCGUGAACCUUUACUGCAGCUUGACACUGAACUUUGACCUUACUUGUGUAGGAUAGGUGGGAGGCUUUGAAGCUGGAACGCUAGUUCCAGUGGAGCCGUCCUUGAAAUACCACCCUGGUAAUGUUGAGGUUCUAACUCUGUCCCGUGAUCCGGGACGAGGACCGUGUCUGGUGGGUAGUUUGACUGGGGCGGUCUCCUCCUAAAGAGUAACGGAGGAGUACGAAGGUGCGCUCAGCGUGGUCGGAAAUCACGCGUAGAGUAUAAAGGCAAAAGCGCGCUUAACUGCGAGACCCACAAGUCGAGCAGGUACGAAAGUAGGUCUUAGUGAUCCGGUGGUUCUGUAUGGAAGGGCCAUCGCUCAACGGAUAAAAGGUACUCUGGGGAUAACAGGCUGAUACCGCCCAAGAGUUCAUAUCGACGGCGGUGUUUGGCACCUCGAUGUCGGCUCAUCUCAUCCUGGGGCUGAAGCAGGUCCCAAGGGUAUGGCUGUUCGCCAUUUAAAGAGGUACGCGAGCUGGGUUUAGAACGUCGUGAGACAGUUCGGUCCCUAUCUACCGUGGGCGCUGGAAAUUUGAGAGGAUCUGCUCCUAGUACGAGAGGACCAGAGUGGACGAACCUCUGGUGUACCGGUUGUGACGCCAGUCGCAUCGCCGGGUAGCUAUGUUCGGAAGGGAUAACCGCUGAAAGCAUCUAAGCGGGAAGCCUACCUCAAGAUAAGAUUUCCCUAGGACUUUAUGUCCUCUAAAGAGCCGUUCGAGACUAGGACGUUGAUAGGUUGGAUGUGGAAGCAUAGUGAUAUGUGAAGCUGACCAAUACUAAUUGCUCGUGAGGCUUGACUAUACAACACCCAAGCAGUUG